RNAcentral lists this non-coding RNA (372 nucleotides) under Pongo abelii (Sumatran orangutan). The record is from RNAcentral. Lineage: Eukaryota; Metazoa; Chordata; Mammalia; Primates; Hominidae.
UCACAAAGAUGAAUUCACUUGCUCAAGAUCCAACAGACACAAAAUGGAGGUGGUUCAAACCCAAGUGUGUCUGACUGCAGAGCCUGUGUUCUUCCCAGUAGAGAUGUGGAUGCAGCACAAAUGGUAGAAAGGACCUGAGACUUAGUCAGAAGACCUCAGUUCACCCAAGGUAUCUGCUAUGCCCAAGGCCUCUGCUCAGUACUGAGGAAACAAGCAUGGACAAGAUGUGGCCUCCACCCUGAGGAGCUCCUAAAUCUAGGAGAGUAAAUCUGUUAGAAAUGUCUUCUCCGCACAUAAUUUAAGCUCUACCAACUGUUAACUUCUUUUCAUUUAUCCAAGUUUUGCCAGGUACCAUACCAAUAAAAAAAGACU